UACCAAUUGUGGAAUCAUAAUCACUUAUUUCAUAGUCAAAGAAGGAUGCGUUUGUUUCAGUGUGGAAUGGAUCAUAUUCAAGAAAAUUGUCCACCACUGUUAAUGAAUUCUCAACUCAUGGACCUCUAUGUUGCUCAACAUUUUCUGCUACUGAGAUUCUUGGGUAUGCAGAAACAUCAUUUGUGGAAUGAUAACCAAACUCAUAGUCAGAGAAGAAUGGGUCUAUCUUUGUGUUAGUUUGAAAUGCAUCAUCACAUUCAAGAUACUUGUCAACAACUUUCAAAUGAUUGCUCAACUGUCUGUUGCUCAACAAUGUCUUCUACUAAGAUGGAUCGGCCUAUUGUAAAACGAGUUGUGGAAUAAUCAACCCACUCCAUGAGUCAGAUAAAGGGAGGGGAGUACUCUCCACACUACAAGAAAUUGGGCUUGUACCCGCGAAGCUAUAGCUGCGGUUUUUCAUAAACGCAGGUAUAGUAUCUCAUAUAGCUGUGGUUCCACGACCGCAGGUAGAGGAUAUGAAAAGACGUCGUCAUUUUGCUACAAAAAUAAGGGCUCGACUUCUCCAUAUCCCGCGACCUCAACUUGCUUCCGAUUUUCCAAAUCGAAAUUUUUCAUCGCUUCGAAGACCACGAUUUCCAAAUCAUACGACCUCAUUCAGAGACCAUGAUUUCCAUCGCUUCUACUGAAACCAUUCACAGGAUGAAUGGGAACUGAAAAGGGAAGAUUGUUGUAGUUUGAACUCGCCGACGAAGGAGUGUUGUAGUUGGGUACAGGUUUUUUUUUUGAGAAAUCCUUAGGUUUGCGUCUAGUUUUUGGCUUCUAUUUGUGCAUUUUAUGAAUUCAUUGUUGAUUUCUUAGCUUUAAAUGGUGCUUCUUUUUGCCGUUUUAUGUGUGCCCUUAGGUUUUUUUUCAUUGUUCUUCUACUUGAGUUAUGAUUUCUAUAGUUUAUUUUUCAGAUGUUAUGUGACAACGAAGACAUGGAUAUGUUUUGUGGUUGAGAUAUAUAGCUGAAUCUUAUGGCAUGGAAGUGUUAUUAUUGAUGCAGGUGUUAAAUGUCAUACUAAGACUUGCCUGGAUGCAAACGGUGUUAGGCUUCACAGAAGCACCUUUUCAUUCCAUGAUUUGUAGGCUGUUGUAAUGCUUUCUUAAAGAUGGUGAAGGUUGCACAGUUCAUGGCAAGCAUAAAGCCUCAGGCUCUCUUAAUUCAAAGUAAGAAGAAGAAGGGGCCAACAUGUUGUUUCUUUUCUUGUAAAUUUUGUUGGUGUACAAGUUCUCCUGAUUUUUUCAUUUCUUUUAGAUUUACAAUGUAUUCUCAUUUAGUAUGUAAGAGCUGAAUAUGGCUAUUGGUUAUUCUGAACAAUGUAUUGGCGUUAUAUUUAAU
Tripterygium wilfordii is the source of this 1381-nucleotide long non-coding RNA. RefSeq lists it as uncharacterized. The transcript is spliced from 4 exons. The record is from RefSeq and is a predicted model, not a curated record. Lineage: Eukaryota; Viridiplantae; Streptophyta; Magnoliopsida; Celastrales; Celastraceae.